GUAUUGAUUGCGUGUUAUCGCAAAAAUGGGGUCACUCUACACUUUUAAAAGGGGGGGUUUGUGUGAAAACGCGAGCCCCCUCCCGGAUCGGUUUGACCCUGAAGGGUGCCCACGCGGUGGUGCACAAAAGGGUGAGAUGGAUUGUUUGAGAGCGCUCGGGCGUGCACGACAAAAAAGUCAGCGACAGCCCUUGCACCUCAGUUUUACGAUAAUGAUCCUUCCGCAGGUUCACCUACGGAAA
Molecule: unclassified non-coding RNA, 241 nt
Filed under: uncultured fungus
Lineage: Eukaryota; Fungi
Description: sequence contains ITS1
Source: RNAcentral